This 65-nucleotide transfer RNA is filed under the name Triticum aestivum (bread wheat). It matches the Rfam family "tRNA". Rfam says of the family: Transfer RNA (tRNA) molecules are approximately 80 nucleotides in length. Their secondary structure includes four short double-helical elements and three loops (D, anti-codon, and T loops). Lineage: Eukaryota; Viridiplantae; Streptophyta; Magnoliopsida; Poales; Poaceae. The record is from Rfam by way of RNAcentral.
CAUUGCUCAGUUGGUAAAGCACAAAGCUCUCAACCUUGCAGACGUGGGUUCAAGCCCCAUGAUGA